GCUAGGGUUGUCGUCCCCCCAAAAAAAUCGCGGGCUAGGUUACUCCUCUCAUCCGCAUCGGCAUGCCUCCCCUCCGGCCUCCAUAGACCCACCUGCCGCGCCGCCACCACCGCCGCCGCCCCUCCACAGCCGCCGCCGCCGCCGCUGCCUCCCCGCCACAGCCGCUGCCGCCGCCGGGCUACCGCAGCAAGGCCGUCGCACCACAGCCGCCGCCGCCGGUGGCCACCGCCACACGGCCGUCGCGCCGCGCCCCGUCUGGUUGAAGGUUGCCGUGGGAGCCGCGCAUCUCCAUCGACCUAGCGUCACGCCUCACUGCCUCCCUCGACGCGCCGGCUCCGCCAGGGCAUCAACAGGCAUAGGCGAGGAUUGCCUGCUCAUCGAACAGUCCUGUCCACGGAUUCAUUCUCCUCAGGUACAAUGCUAGUUGAUCGUAAUUGGAUGUACAAGGGCCAUCGAAACCGCGGCGAGGUUACUGCUGAAUGGAUUUUGAAGACUACAGAAUUUCUUGACAUGGCAUUCAGUCGGGACACACGCUGUGCUGAUGUAUUGUGCCCUUGUAACUACUGCAACAACACACGUCCCCAAACAAGAGAUGUGAUGAUGAAACACCUUUGCAAGUAUGGUUUCAGGCCUGAAUAUACUGUGUGGGUGUAUCAUGGUGAGACACACCCUACAUGUGAAGAGGUGGUAUGUGAAAGCACUGAAGAUGAAGAUAGGGUUGUGGACAUCAAUCGGAUGGAUGAUAUGGUGGAUGAUAUCCGAGAUGCUUAUGUCUCAGUUGAGGAGGAAGAUCCAGAGCCCACAGCGCAAUCUUUCUUUGAAAUGUUGUCUGCAGCGACUAAACCUCUCCACGAACAUACACAGGUAUCACAACUUGAUGCUACCACACGACUACUAGCAGUGAAGUCUCAGUAUGCUAUAUCAAUUGCUGGAUUUGAUGCACUUUUGAAUGUGGUCUGUGCUCUCCUCCCCCAAGGGCAUAAGCUACCACCCAACUUGUAUGAGGCAAAGAAAUUCCUUAGUGCUUUGAAUAUGCCGUAUGAAAAGAUAGAUGCAUGCCCUAAAAAUUGUAUGCUCUUUAGGAAGGAGAAUGAACAUAAGACACACUGUGAUAAGUGUGGAGAGAGUAGGUAUGUUGAGGUCGAAAACAGUAAGGGCCAGAAGAGACAAUUAACUGUUGCAAGAAAGGUACUUCGUUAUCUUCCAAUCAUCCCAAGACUUCAGCGGCUAUACAUGUCAGAAUCUCAGGCCAAGCAAAUGACAUGGCACAAAACUGGUCAUCGAUACCAUCCUGACAAGAUUGUACAUCCAGCUGACGGUGAAGCCUGGAAGAAGUUUGAUAGAGACUUUCCAGCCUUUGCUAUGGAAAUGCGCAAUGUUAGAGUAGCAAUAGCCACAGACGGGUUCUGUCCAUUUGGUAUGGGUGCCUCUUCAUACACUUGCUGGCCUAUGUUUGUCAUUCCUCUGAACCUUCCACCUGGUAUUUGCAUGCGGCAGCACAACAUGUUCCUUAGUUUGAUAAUUCCUGGGCCGAACUAUCCUGGUAAAGAUAUUAGUGUAUUCAUGGAGCCCUUAGUUGAUGAACUCAUACAUGCUUGGCAGCAAGGUGUGUUGACAUAUGAUCGUGCCACCAAGACAAAUUUUAUCAUGCGAGUCUCCUUCCUUUAUUCUAUCCAUGACCUUCCAGCCUAUGGCAUAUUCCGUGGUUGGUGUGUGCACGGGAAGAUGUCAUGUCCAAUCUGUAUGGAGGUGCUCCAAGGAAAAAGGUUGAAAUAUGGGGGUAAGUACUCAUUUUUUGAUUGUCAUCGCCAGUUUCUUCCAAGUGAUCACAGUUUUAGAACUGAUUCAAACUCUUUUAUGGCAAACACUACUGUUAGUACUGAGCCACCUCGUCGUCUCUCGGGUGGAGAGAUAAAAGCUCAGUUAGAUAGCCUUGUCCUUGCUCCUAAUGGAAAUGGUUUUGUAGACUAUGGCAAAAGUCACAAUUGGACACAUAGGUCUAGUUUGUGGAGACUCCCUUACUUUCAUAUGCUAGUACUUCCUCAUAAUAUCGAUGUCAUGCACAAUGAGAAGAAUGUUGCUGAGGCAAUAUUCAAUACUUGCUUUGACAUCCCAGACAAGACGAAGGACAAUGUCAAGGCUCGCCUUGACCAAGCUGCACUUUGUAACCACCCUGAGUUGAACCUUGUCCAAAAACAACCAUCUGGUCAAUGGGUAAAACCAAGAGCGGAUUUUUGCUUGAACAGAACUCAGAAGAAAGAAAUAUUGGAAUGGUUUCGGACAUUGAAAUUUCCUGAUGGGUACGGGUCGAACUUAAGGAGAGGAGUAAAUUUGAAAAACAUGCGGAUUAAUGGGUUAAAAAGCCACGAUUACCACAUAAUGAUGGAACGUCUCUUCCCAGUGAUGUUUCGUGGCUACUUGCCAACACAUGUGUGGGAAGUGCUAGCAGAGGUGAGCUUCUUUUAUCGCAAACUUUGUGCAAAACAGUUCGAUCCCAUAGAGAUGGAAAACAUGGAGAGUCAAAUAGUUGUUUUGGUUUGCAAAUUAGAAAAAAUCUUUCCACCUGGAUUUUUCAAUCCAAUGCAACACUUGAUGAGGUGGACCUGUACAAUUCAGAUGGAACUACCCUGUUGAAAGAGGCCAAAAGUAUCUUAAGAGCAAAGUUAGAAACCGAGCUCGUGUUGAAGCAUCCAUAGCAGAGGCUUACAUACUAGAUGAAAUCUCAAAUUUCACAUCUAUAUAUUUUGCUGAUCAAGUGCGGACAAUUCAUAAUCCUGUCCCUCGAUACAAUGUGGCUCAGUCCACUGAUUGUUCCCUUAGUCUCUUCUCUAUUAAGGGAGAUUCUACUAGCCGAGGAGUCCCUAGACACUUAACUGCUGAAGAGUGGGAUGCUACCAUGUUGUACGUGCUUACAAAUCUUACUGAAGUGGAUGACUACAUUAGGAAGUUUAUAGAUGAGGAGUGGACUUCACGAGGUGUUCCAACUAGGCAACAGCAGGAGAACAUCUUACAGAAUGGUGCUGGGAGAGAUCAUCCUAAUUUUGUUUCUUGGUUUUGUAAGAAGAGUAUGAUGGAUGAGACUAUGAGUGAUGAUUUGAAGCAAAUAGCUAGAGGAUGCCACACUCGAGUCUUGUUAUAUAAUAUAUAUGAUGUAAAUGGGUAUCGAUUUCGGACACAUAAAUAUGAGCAGGAGAGGCCAAAUGCAACUACAAUAAACAGUGGUUUGGUGACUAUAGGACAGGGAGAAAAUGAUGAAAUGACUGAGUACUAUGGUUACAUCAAAGAAAUAAUAGAAAUCAGCUUUGAUGGCACCAAACCUCUCACACUUGUGCUCUUCAAUUGCCAUUGGUUUGACCCAAGCCAAGUCAGGUACUCGCCAAGAUAUGGCCUGGUUGAAGUUGCUCAUGCAUCAAUCCUUCCCAAGUUUGAGCCAUUUGUUAUAGCUCAUCAAGCGACACAAGUGUAUUACAUGCCAUAUCCAUGCAAAUCUGUACAAGAUCUCACUAAUUGGUGGGUUGUAUAUAAGGUGCAGCCAAUUGGUAGAUUAGAAGUACCCACUGAUCAAGAUUAUGAUUUUGUCCCCAACACUGAUGUUGUCCACUAUUUCCAAGAAGAUGGCCUGCUUGGCAGUUUUGUAAUUGAUCUUGGUCUGAACUUUGAUAAUAAUUCUGAAGAGGCUGCCAGCAGUAGGGAUACUGAAGAUAUUUGCAAUGGCAAGGACUUGGAGCUUCUCAAUGGAUCAUCUAUUCAAGAUGUCAACUACGAUGAUGACGAGUCUUAUUAUGCUGACUCAUCCAAUGAAGAUGAUGAAUAUCCCACCAAUAGAGAUAUCUUAUAUGAUGAAUAUUUCUAAGGCAUAUAAUGCUAUGGCAAAGGACUGGAGUUUAUUUUUACCAUCAAUCCGGUUAAGACAGCCACUAGUGUUUAUUGCCUCCCUAGGAGAGGUGUAAGAACCAUUGUAGUUUCUAUGGCAUCAUGUGUAUCUAGUUGGUGGAUAUAUUCAUAUCAUGUUCUUCUUAGCACUGAGAAUCUGCACUAAUGUUCACUAAUUAUUAUGUGGUGCCAAUUUGUUUGCAUGAAACAUGCUUAUUGAUCUGCUGCGUUUAGUGAUUA
Molecule: non-coding RNA, 4113 nt
Organism: Oryza sativa Japonica Group (Japanese rice)
Lineage: Eukaryota; Viridiplantae; Streptophyta; Magnoliopsida; Poales; Poaceae
Source: RefSeq, a predicted model, not a curated record